GACUUGGCCCUUUUCAGGGCCACCAACUAACGAAAGAAGCUUAGU
Operophtera brumata (winter moth) is the source of this 45-nucleotide non-coding RNA. Lineage: Eukaryota; Metazoa; Arthropoda; Insecta; Lepidoptera; Geometridae. The record is from Rfam.